Molecule: ribosomal RNA, 340 nt
Filed under: uncultured Pseudomonadota bacterium
Lineage: Bacteria; Pseudomonadati; Pseudomonadota
Description: bacterial SSU rRNA
Rfam family: Bacterial small subunit ribosomal RNA
Source: RNAcentral
AAUGAACGCUGGCGGCGUGCUUAACACAUGCAAGUCGAACGAGAAAGGGAUUGCUUGCAAUCCUGAGUAGAGUGGCGCACGGGUGAGUAACACGUAGAUAAUCUACCUCCGAGCCUGGGAUAACUAUUCGAAAGGAUAGCUAAUACCGGAUGAAGUGGUUUGACACAAGUUGAAUCAUGAAAGACUGCCUCUUCCUGAAAGCAGUUGUUUGGAGAUGAGUUUGCGUACCAUUAGCUAGUUGGUGGGGUAACGGCCUACCAAGGCAGCGAUGGUUAGCUGGUCUGAGAGGAUGAUCAGUCACACUGGAACUGAAACACGGUCCAGACUCCUACGGGUGCUG